UUGAAAAAUAAUACUACUUAUCCCAUACAGGAGGAGAGCCAAAAAAACCUAUGUCUGUUGCUGAUCGCAACAAAAGAGAUCUGAGGUGUUAGAGGGCAACAAGGGAUCAUGGGAGUUGGAGGAGCUAGAACCUAGAAGCUGUCUGCAAAGUUACCAGCUCAAAUCCAAAGUCAAAUCUAAGAUCGAGGAAUAGUGACAUGGAUAACAUCAGAUCCUACAAUUUUACUUAACACACAAAAUAACAGAGCCUCUUUUAAUUUCUUAAUUAAGGUAAACACCACUUGGUCUGACAUUUUAAAAGCCAGGUUCUAUAACCUUAAUCCAAGAAGAACUACAAAAUACAAAGCUGGAAUGCGUAAAAAAAAAAAUAAAAAAAGUAUCACUUAAUUCAGCAGCAUUUGUCACAAUAUUUACGAUAACAUGUACACAAACAUAUGUAGUCAUACUCUAUCUAUACUGGUUAUAAAAACAAUGAAGGACAGUUGGUUUACUACAACAUUUUGCACUAUGAAGUGGAACAUUAAGGAAGGGCCUCUUUAAAAGCAACAGUACAGUUCAAGAUACAAAAACAUCAUAUAAGCAGGAUGUUGCCUCUUGCAUAAUAAUAAAAAAAAAAAAAAAAACCUAACAA
Protopterus annectens (West African lungfish) is the source of this 631-nucleotide long non-coding RNA. RefSeq lists it as uncharacterized. The record is from RefSeq and is a predicted model, not a curated record. The transcript has 2 exons. NCBI's taxonomy places the organism in Eukaryota, Metazoa, Chordata, Ceratodontiformes, Protopteridae.